AGUGAACGCUGGCGGUAGGCCUAACGCAUGCAAGUCGAACGGCAGCACAGUAAGAGCUUGCUCUUACGGGUGGCGAGUGGCGGACGGGUGAGGAAUACAUCGGAAUCUACUUUUUCGUGGGGGAUAACGUAGGGAAACUUACGCUAAUACCGCAUACGACCUACGGGUGAAAGCAGGGGAUCUUCGGACCUUGCGCGAUUGAAUGAGCCGAUGUGGGAUUAGCUAGUUGGCGGGGUAAAGGCCCACCAAGGCGACGAUCCGUAGCUGGUCUGAGAGGAUGAUCAGCCACACUGGAACUGAGACACGGUCCAGACUCCUACGGGAGGCAGCAGUGGGGAAUAUUGGACAAUGGGCGCAAGCCUGAUCCAGCCAUACCGCGUGGGUGAAGAAGGCCUUCGGGUUGUAAAGCCCUUUUGUUGGGAAAGAAAAGCAGCAGGUUAAUACCCCGCUGUUCUGACGGUACCCAAAGAAUAAGCACCGGCUAACUUCGUG
RNAcentral lists this ribosomal RNA (492 nucleotides) under uncultured bacterium. RNAcentral describes it as "partial 16S ribosomal RNA". It matches the Rfam family "Bacterial small subunit ribosomal RNA", at positions 29 to 507 of the family's 1533-position model. The record is from RNAcentral.